CAACAUAUAGGCAUUUCCAAAGUUUUAAGAGUCCCUAUACAUAUUUAGCUGCAACAACAUAGGCAUUUCCCGAGUUUCACAGUCCAUUGGUUAGAUGACCACCACUACCACCACCACCACCACCACCACCAGUGGCGGCCAGCCGCCACAACCAUCGGCCGAACCCCAGCUGAUCCCAGACGUCCCAGAUGACGUGUCCAUCAACUGCCUAUCAAGAAUCCCCAGAUACCAUUACCCUAAGCUCUCUCUUGUCUCAAGAUCAUGGCGCUCCGCCAUAACCUCCUCUGCACUCUUCACCACCCGGUCCCUCCUCCAUACCACCCAAACCUCUCUCUACCUCAACCUCCGCAUCAACUACUCCUUCCACUGGUACACUCUCCUCUCUAAUUGCCAUAGCAGAAAAAACCCACAAAAACCCAUUAUUCCCCUUCGCGGCCUCCCGUUUCAGCCCGUAGGACCUGCGUUCGCCGUCCUAGGCCCGAAAAUAUACGUAAUUGGGGGGUCUAUUAACCAAAUCCCGUUAAAUUGGAUGUGGGUUUAUGAUUGUAGGUUUAAUAGGUGGGAGGAAGGCCCUAGAAUGAAGGUGGGCCGGGAGUUCGCCGGAGCCGGGGUUGUUGAUGGGAAGAUUUAUGUUCUAGGUGGUUGUGUUGUGGAUGUUACGGCUCAGUCUAUGGACUGGGCCGAGGUUUUUGACCCGGUUACCGGGUUGUGGACCACGGUGCCGAGCCCUGUUGAGGUGAGGUUGAAGCGGAUGCACGCGAGCGUGGUGAUGGAGGGGAGAGUUUAUGCAAUGGCGGGUAGAAGUGGGGUGGUGUAUGAUGUUGGGCUGGGGAAGUGGGGAAACGUGUCAAAAAGGCUUGAUUUGGGGUGGAGGGGGCGGGCUGCGGUGGUUCGGGGAGUGUUGUAUUGUUGUGAUUAUUUAGGGAAUAUCAGAGGGUACGAUGUGGAGGAAGAUGAUUGGAAGGAGUUGAAGGGUGAAGGGAAAGGGUUGCCUACGUUCGUCUAUGGUGCAACGAUGGUGAAUUUCGAUGGAAGGUUGUGUGUUGUUUGGGAGAAAAAGGGGAGUGGGAAGGAGGUGGAGAUAAAGUGCGCGGAUAUUGAAGUUUGGAAGAAGGUGGGUGGAAUGUUGGCUGGAAGGAUUUUGUGGUCUGGUGUGAUUCUCAAAGUUCCUGAUGGAGCUGCGAUUGUACAUUGUAUGGCAGCUGAGUUCUGAUGGUGAUGUUUGUGCAGGGUAUGGCAAUUGUUCUUUGGUGCAUAUGUUGUUUAUAAUAUUCAGGAUUCUCACUGCAAUCAAUUUUUCGAACUAUUCCGGUUGAGAAGUAGGUGAUAAAUUGCUCCUUAGCAAAAUGAUGCUACUGCAGUUUCGUCUAGCUCAGAUUGUGUGACUAAGCUACAUUGGGUUAGCUAUCCAGCUGCUUCAGAUUCUCCAAAAUGCCGAGGUGUAUUGCGUAGUCCAAGUCGCCACCACCUGUGGUCCAUUGGUUGAUAAUUUGCUGGCCAAGUUUGCUAUAUUCAAUCUGGAAAUUAUCUUCUGUAUUUCUAUUCAGCCACAUUCUCGACAAUAUCUACUUUCUCCAAUAUGUGUGUAUAGUAGUAGGGUUUAUCUGCAGCUGGCAAUGUAAGUUCGACCGGUCCUGCUGCUUCUUGUUGUAUGUACCUUUCUUUUCCCUUUUGAUUCGAAAGUAAUUUACUGUGCUCAGACAGACCAGUGGAUGUCAGAUAAGUUCAUGUGUUUUAUUCGUGCAUUGUGCUAUAAAUUCUACUCCCUCAGUUAUUGGUUUCAGAAUUGUUAAAUCCUUUCA
RNA transcript from Coffea eugenioides, 1802 nucleotides. It is a transcript of the gene named F-box/kelch-repeat protein SKIP6-like, with no coding region annotated. The transcript is spliced from 2 exons. The record is from RefSeq and is a predicted model, not a curated record. Lineage: Eukaryota; Viridiplantae; Streptophyta; Magnoliopsida; Gentianales; Rubiaceae.